This 424-nucleotide ribosomal RNA is filed under the name Verrucomicrobiota bacterium. RNAcentral's name for it is "Verrucomicrobia bacterium partial 16S ribosomal RNA". It matches the Rfam family "Bacterial small subunit ribosomal RNA", at positions 355 to 776 of the family's 1533-position model. Lineage: Bacteria; Pseudomonadati; Verrucomicrobiota. The record is from RNAcentral.
UGAGGAAUAUUGGUCAAUGGGCGAGAGCCUGAACCAGCCAAGUAGCGUGCAGGAUGACGGCCCUAUGGGUUGUAAACUGCUUUUAUAUGGGAAUAAAGUGAGGGACGUGUCCCUUAUUGCAUGCACCAUACGAAUAAGGACCGGCUAAUUCCGUGCCAGCAGCCGCGGUAAUACGGAAGGUCCAGGCGUUAUCCGGAUUUAUUGGGUUUAAAGGGAGCGUAGGCUGUUUGUUAAGCGUGUUGUGAAAUGUAGGAGCUCAACUUUUAGAUUGCAGCGCGAACUGGCAGACUUGAGUGCGCACAACGUAGGCGGAAUUCAUGGUGUAGCGGUGAAAUGCUUAGAUAUCAUGACGAACUCCGAUUGCGAAGGCAGCUUACGGGAGCGCAACUGACGCUAAAGCUCGAAGGUGCGGGUAUCGAACAGG